Anneissia japonica is the source of this 781-nucleotide long non-coding RNA. RefSeq lists it as uncharacterized. Lineage: Eukaryota; Metazoa; Echinodermata; Crinoidea; Comatulida; Comatulidae. The transcript has 2 exons. The record is from RefSeq and is a predicted model, not a curated record.
GGAAAAUGACUUUCUUCGCCCCUAAGGGUCCCUUCGUGUCUGUGCUCCCCGGUAACCCGGUACCAGCAACUCUCGUCGUCCACCACAGGGACUGUCUGUUCCAGUACACUGGGGUAUCUCCUGUCACAAUAUUUAGGAUAUUUCAUUCUACUUUGCAGCACUGCUUACUGAAUCGUGAACUAAUGAAUAUGCAUAUUUGUAUGACUCAAGUUAAAACGGUCUGUGAAUGGAAAUAAUUUACAUGAAUAUUAAUGAUGUUAAGGCAAAGUGGCAGUGUAUGAUUCGUGCAUUUAAGUGGAGUGUAAAAAUAUGCAAAUGUGUUAAAAAGGGUUAGUUUAAAGGUAUCUUGCCAGGAGUUGAAGAUAAAAUAUCUUAAAGUAAAUAUGUGGACUGAGAAGUGUCGGUUAAAGGACAUAUCAGUCGAGGCACAUUUUAAGAUAAAAGUACAAGGCUUAUAUGUAAAAGCUUAAAGUAAUUAUACGCGAGUGAUAGAUGGAGUAAGAGAGCUUCACAGUAUUUUUGAAUCAAGAAAUGAAGUAAAGAAUUGACCAUGGUCGGAGGAGGUAGAGCCAAGUAGCCUAUACUCAAGACUUAUGUACCAAAUAUACUAAAGUGAUAUUGCAGACUGAGGGGAAAAGCCCUAGCAGUUAGCAAGACUUAGUAGAUGAUCCGUACAUCGAAUGCAUUAUUACAGUGAUAACGAUUCUGGGAGGUAGCACAACACUUUGUCAUUGGAUAUACAAAACGAACUUUUAUUUAAUUAAAACCAGUUGAUUUUAUA